Molecule: non-coding RNA, 225 nt
Filed under: Planctomycetota bacterium
Lineage: Bacteria; Pseudomonadati; Planctomycetota
Source: RNAcentral
CACCGCAAGACGUGUGUUGGUGGUCGGACGCCCGUGCUCUCGGCGUCCGACGAACAGGGAACGCCGGUGUAAAUCCGGGACGGCCCCGCCGCUGUAACCGAGAGCCACAAGGAGCCCCAUUCUUCUGUGCCAUUGUCGUCUUCGUCCCGUGAGGGCCGCCGACGAUGAGAAGGCCGGGGUUUCUUGCUCGGAAGUCAGCAGACCUACCAACACGGUGCCGGACCG